This is a microRNA precursor of Procavia capensis (Cape rock hyrax), 81 nucleotides long. NCBI's taxonomy places the organism in Eukaryota, Metazoa, Chordata, Mammalia, Hyracoidea, Procaviidae. The record is from Ensembl.
GUUUAUUUUGGGAGUGUUUGCUGUAUAAUUGGGUUUAAAAAAUGUAUUAGAGGUACAGUAGGCAUGACUUUGAAUAGAUAA